GAAAUAGUAAUCAAAUAUGAACAAGUUGCAUUCACUCAAAUAAAUAUGCUCGAUGAAAAAUGGACUGACUAACCUUAGCCAAAACACAGUAGAUUUAAAAAGCCAACAGGAAUUCAGAGCUGGAUACUCUAUUUUAUGAGUUGCAUGGCACCAAAGCACUCAUAUAGGCAGGGAAAAUGCAUAUGAAUAAUAGCUUCGAGAUCUAAAUGUCUGGUCUCAGCUGAAACUACAACUUUGUUCAACACGAGAGGUGCAGGACCAAGGGAGAAAAUGUUGAUGUUAGGUCAUUAGCAUCCGGAGCAAGAAAUUGCCUCAUGAGGCUUCUCUACUUUGCAAGAUGUGAAGAUGGACUGGAUUUCUUUAAAUAAAAAGAUCUCCUGGAUAUUUGAAACAACAGUUUGUGGGCACAAGCAAACUGCUUUUUAUGCAAUUUAUUCUGUAGUCAAAAGUAAAAUGAGACUUCUUUUUGGUUGGGAGGGAAUGACAGUGGACAUGCAUUUAGAAGCACAGUGGUUAGUUUGACAAAACAAAAAUUGCUCUCCCUCUCUAACUCUCUGUGCGCGCGCGCGUGACUGUGUGGGGAGUGUGCAUUCUUCCUCUUAGGGCAUGUUUUGUAUUCCUAAACAAAGUGCUCUUGUGACUUUAAAAAAUCACUUCGUAGAAAAACAAAUGCUUGGUAGCAUUUUUUUUUAAAAAAUAUGUCUACAAGAAAGACAGAAAAGGCGCUUCAGGACAAGCUAGAAAACCUAGCUUCUAGCUUCUUUUCUUUUAUAAGAAGCAAGUCAUGAGUCAACUAGUGGUCUAACAAAAGGCUGAGCUGGACAGAUGGUGAGGCAAUAAUAGUCAAAUUUAAGUUGAGAUGGACAAGUAGCAUAAUGAACAAGAAAAAUAGCCUGCCAUAACAAUAGGUUAAUGUGAUGAUUGAGAGGAUAAGUUGUUCUAACAAAUGCAUAGAAAUAAAGGUUUUCUCAAAAUCUCUCUCUCUCUCUCUCUCUCUCUACNNNNNNNNNNNNNNNNNNNNAAAUAGUCAUAGUAAAUAAAAGGUUUUACUUCUAAUACUCUCUCUCUCUCUCUCUCUCUCUCUCUCUGUGUGUGUGUGUGUGUGUGUGUGUUCUUCCUCUCUAAGAACAGGGAUGAGAAGCAAAUGAUGGAUCAAAAAAUAGUCUGAUUAAGGCUGAGCUGGACAAAUGGCAAGGCAAGAACAGUCAAAUUUUAGUUAAGAUGGAUGUGUAACAUGAGCAAAAGAAAAAUAGCCUACUGCAACAGUUGGCUAAUGUGAUGAUUCAGAGGAUAAGGUUUUUCUAACAAAUGCUUAGAAAUAAAAGUUUUCUCAAAAAGUAUAUGGGAAGGACUGAACUCCUCGCGAGAGAAAAGGGUAUCUACUGCUCUCAAGUUUAAAAUCACUAAUUGGGCAUCCAAAUUGAAGAUCCAUUCCGUUUGAUCAUGAUCUAUACAACUAAAACACCUAGAAACCAAAAAUCAUGUAUUUUGGUGGUCUCUAACCUAUGUACCAAGUGGUUGCAAACAUGUACAGUUAAAAUGAUAUGAGACUGUUUUUUGCUAUGAUCUAAAGCACUAAACUCUAUUAAUUUUCAAUCUAUACAUGUUUUAACAUGAUGAAUAAGGUGCAUUCUCAAUACAAACACCUUAUCAUUUAUUUUAGCAGACUGGCAGAAUAAAAACAGUCCAUUUUUGUGUCUAUUAGAUAUGUAGGUUAGAGACCACCAAGAAACAAGAUUUUUUCGUUUCUAGAAAUUUUAGUUGCAUAGAUCAUAAUCAACAGUAUGUAUUUUCAUUUGAAUGUUUGAUUAUUGAUUUUGGACAUGAGAAAAGUUGAUACCUUCUCCCCAAAGAGGAGAAUAGUCCAUCUCUCUCUCUCUCUCUCUCUCUCAUAAGCAUUAUGAAAAGUGUAUGUAUAUUCAACCUUAUCAACAUUCACAAAAUAAGAUAUUAAUUUUGCAUUGACAAGUUCCAUAAAUAUGGAAUUUUCAAUGCAAAAACAAUAUUAAAUUUUUGCACACACUAGUUGUGCCAAAAGGCAUCAUUUAUACUUAUUAUUACUUAUAAUGUUAUGUUUAAACAACUAAUAAAGGCUAUUGCAGUCAGUAAUAAAAUAACUUAAAUAACACAUAUUGACAUGAAAAAUCACUCUAAUAGAUGUUAUGAAAAGUGAUAUAAAUGUCUCAUCUCAGCCGAAACUGCAUCUUCACUCAACUGAAGAAGUGCAGGACUGAGGGAGAGAAUUGAUAGUAGUCCAUUAGCAUUCAAAGCAAGAAACAGCCAUGCAAGGCUCUUCCGCUUUGCCAAGAUGGACUAGAUAUUUGAGACAACAAUUUUCUAAACAACCAACCUUUUACCAUUUAUGCAACAUAAAUUCGUGGAGUGGAUAUGCCCUUAGAUGGGUGGUAGUUGGGAAUAGAAGAUGGAACCUCCUCAAACGUCCAUUCCCCUUUCUCCUAAAACAAGGUAUUCUUUUCUCUCCAGAGAUUCUCAUGUGGCAGGAAGAGGUUUGAAGGCAAUUUCUCAGAAAGAAAAAAGAAAGAUGCUCAAAAAAAAAAGCCGGAACCAAAUUGAUACAGGGGUCAAUAAAAAGCAGCCAAAAAUAACAAUAGACCGAUUCUUGGACUGAUAGUGUUUUCCAAGAAAUGUAAAGUCAUAGGGGUUCCUCUUGAAAUUUCCCUUGUCGUAAAAACAACCAAAUUAAUCACUUCUGGCACCUCCUAUUGUAGUAUAUUAUAUAUCAAC
RNAcentral lists this long non-coding RNA (2745 nucleotides) under Phoenix dactylifera (date palm). RNAcentral's name for it is "long non-coding RNA (PDAC_LNC000318)". The record is from RNAcentral. Lineage: Eukaryota; Viridiplantae; Streptophyta; Magnoliopsida; Arecales; Arecaceae.